GCGAUCACAAAGAAGGAAAUAUAAAGGAGUUUCCCAGUAAUUGUCACUCCCCGACCUCGGGGAGUGCGGUGUUCAGCCGAGAUAACCCGGCCGAGCAAGCCUGCUAGAUAGCCUUCUACCCAAACUCACCCAUGAAUAAUGAGAAGAUAUAUUUUCAUUAAUUAGACAACAAGGAGAUCAUGUAUAUAACACCAAUUCAUUACCUUUAGUUACUUCAUUUUAAAGUCUCAAAAUACACACGCUUUCAUAGUUUGAAGUGGAACAAGUGGCUCAAACACAACACAACUAGUUUGACUUUCCCAACACCAAUAUACAACCCACAUUGUCUACGGAUCCUCUAAUAGAUACAAAGAGUAUUAUGAUAAUGCCGGCAACAAGGCUCGGCUAUACCUUAAAACAUAAUACGUAAGAACAAAAGAUACACGACCCCAAAAUGAAAUGGGGCUCACCAAGUCGGCUGGGAAGAGGGUGUACCGCCAUUAUUGACCAAUGCCGCCUGCUGUAGAACCACCUGCAUCCAUUAAAGAUAUAGCGUCCCCGGCAAAAUGGACGUUAGUACAUAUGAAUAGUAUUAGUAUACAUGACUAAACACCCUCUCAAUAGAACGAGUAAUAAUACAAGAAAGAACAAUCAUAGAAUCAGUGGAAUCCUCAAACAAUACCAAAACAUCAAGUUAGGAGCAAGAUAAGUUUUCAAGUAAAUUUCCAUAUUUAGGUUGAGAUAUCUUUAGUACUGGUAUACCACCCUGUUUUUAGCAUGGAGUCCUAUCUCGGCCCGAUCGGCUAACUCAUCUCAUCAGAGACAUCCAAUCCCAAC
This 816-nucleotide long non-coding RNA is filed under the name Nicotiana benthamiana. RNAcentral's name for it is "long non-coding RNA (NBEN_LNC009213)". The record is from RNAcentral. Lineage: Eukaryota; Viridiplantae; Streptophyta; Magnoliopsida; Solanales; Solanaceae.